The sequence is a small nuclear RNA, 153 nucleotides long. It matches the Rfam family "U2 spliceosomal RNA". From Rfam's summary of the family: U2 is a small nuclear RNA (snRNA) component of the spliceosome (involved in pre-mRNA splicing). Complementary binding between U2 snRNA (in an area lying towards the 5' end but 3' to hairpin I) and the branchpoint sequence (BPS) of the intron results the bulging out of an unpaired adenosine, on the BPS, which initiates a nucleophilic attack at the intronic 5' splice site, thus starting the first of two transesterification reactions that mediate splicing.
AUAUCUUCUCGGCUUUUUAGCUAAGAUCAUGUUUUUAAAAUGUUCUUAUCAGAGUAACUCCUGAUAUUUGCCUUCGGGCAAUUAGGAAUACGAAAUCUUUGAUCACGCGAGUUUUCCUGGAGUUCCACUCUUUCCAGGCGAAGCUCGCCCUUU